This 321-nucleotide long non-coding RNA is filed under the name Androctonus crassicauda. Lineage: Eukaryota; Metazoa; Arthropoda; Arachnida; Scorpiones; Buthidae. The record is from RNAcentral.
AAAUUUAUCUGAGUUUCACAUCAGUACAGAAACAGGAAGAGAGAAGUCAGAUCAACAUGGGACAUUCGUUAAUUAUCAAAUUAAAUAUGCUCUUAACUGCAGGCAAUCUUUUAUCUGCAAUGGCGGAUGCCGAAAGACGGAUAGAGACAUUAACAGAUGAAGGAAAGGAUGGAGAAAAGCAAGUUUUUAGUAAGAAGACAGUGAUUAAUUUGGGAAUCAUUCAGGAGUCACCGAAUGGACCAGAUGUGUUCGUGAGUCACUCUGAGGUCUCCACACAGACUGGAUGUCUCUGAGAAUCUGCUCUCAGACUUUAGACAGAAA